Tachysurus fulvidraco (yellow catfish) is the source of this 993-nucleotide long non-coding RNA. RefSeq lists it as uncharacterized. NCBI's taxonomy places the organism in Eukaryota, Metazoa, Chordata, Actinopteri, Siluriformes, Bagridae. The transcript has 2 exons. The record is from RefSeq and is a predicted model, not a curated record.
GUCUGUCUGUCUGUCUGUCUGUCUAUCUAUCUAUCUAUCUAUCUAUCUAUCUAUCUAUCUAUCUAUCUAUCUAUCUGUUUGUUUGCAUGUCUGUCAGUCUGUCUGUCUAUACUGACAUUCGUAGGCCAAGAUGAUUUCAUCCUCCAUUUUUUAAGCUGAGAGGCUUCAGAAAAUAUGAUGUCACUUCCUGUAAAUAAACAAAGUGACCAUCGAUGAUCCCUGGUUUUUGCAGUGCAUUGUGGGAUUUUUAGGAAGUAAAAGUUCAACUGAACCGGCAAUAAUUUACUUGCUAGAGAAAGGCAGAACUUAAAAUGAACGAAUCCCUGGCCAGGGCCCUGACGUCUGCACUACAGAGCUGAUCGAGAUGAUCGAGACGCAGCCAACGUGUCAUACUGAGAAAUGGAUUUAGCUCACAGGUGUCAAUAUGAGAAAGACCAUCAUUUCCACAUUUCCAUCCUGAUACAAUGCAACGCCAUCAGAGCCCAUCUCUGCAUGCUGCCUCUCCAGCUAUCAGAUGGAGACAAAAGGCAGGGAAUAGAGAAAGAGACAGGAAGGACAAUAGAGUGGAAGGACGCACAGGUGCUCUGAAUGCCAUUGGGUCGAGGUCGAGGUGGAAGAAUGUGCCAGCCAUUUAACAUAUAGAGAGACAUUUAAAUCUUGGGCAAACAUUAGAAGGUUGUAAAAGGGUUACAAGGUUAAGAGUUGCUGUGGAGAAUAGAGAGGAAGAACUGAAUUGCAUUAAGAGAAAAAUAGAGGGAGAGGAAUAUAUCUAAGAACAAGUGCACACAUCAGAAAUACACACACACACACACACACACACACACACACACACACACACACACACUGGCAAAUAUUUUACUGUUUCUUAUGUUUUCCUGUUGAGUGAUUAUUAUUAUUAUUACUUUUUUUUUGACAGAUUUGGCUUUUCUUUUUUUUACAAUUAUUAUUAUUAAUUUGAUACGAAUUUUAGUAAAUUGUCUUUGACAACUGAGA